RNAcentral lists this long non-coding RNA (734 nucleotides) under Homo sapiens (human). RNAcentral's name for it is "HSALNT0381046". Lineage: Eukaryota; Metazoa; Chordata; Mammalia; Primates; Hominidae. The record is from RNAcentral.
AAAGAUUGAAGGGGUUCAAGAGUGAAACAGAAAGACUUUAAAGGCUGUUAUAGCAUUCCAAGUUAAAGAUGAUGGUUAUUGAACUAGAGAAGCAGUUGAGGUGAUGAGAAGGGUUUCGAUUCAGAAUUGAUUUUGAAAGUUUAUUGUACUUUAAAAUUGGACAUUGGGUAUGAGAAAGAAAAACUGCAUUCAGUAAGGCAGAGAAUACUUAAGGAGGUGCAGGUUUGAGAGAAAAUUAAAAAUUUAGUUUUGACCACAUUAAGUUUCAGAUGACCAUUGCCAUCAAGUAAUUGCAACAGUGGAGCAAAAUAACAGUUCUGGUAUUUCAAUAUUUAAUAUAUUACUGCCUUACUGAGUUGCAAUAAGUGACAAAAACAUAUACAUCAUAGAAUUAACAUAAGAAUGAACUGUGAAGAACAAAUGCCUUAUAUUUCAGGUAAAAGGUAAAUAUAUUCCAUAUACUCUGGAAUAAGGACCUACUGAAAGACUGCUGAGGAUUUGAGGAAUCUAUUUUUGUGUGUGUGGACUGUUACUAUUAAUAGUUCUGUGCUGUGUAUACCACCAGCUCCCAAUAAAUGUCGCAUUCAGAGCAUUUUUGCACUAGGAAGAUUUAGGGUGCAAAUGAACUCUGACAGAAGAAUCUGUAGUAUACAAGGUUUUCAGAAGACAACCCACCUGCUCCAUACUUCGAAAUAAUGAGAUUCACAACGAUUAUGAUCUUUGGCCGGGCGCGG